GAUGAACGCUAGCGGCAGGCUUAAUACAUGCAAGUCGAGGGGCAGCACGGUUAGCAAUAACUGGUGGCGACCGGCGCACGGGUGCGUAACACGUAUACAAUCUACCUUAAACAGGGGGAUAGCCUUUCGAAAGAGAGAUUAAUACCCCGUAAUAAAUUGAACGGCAUCGUUUGAUUUUGAAAGCUCCGGCGGUUUGAGAUGAGUAUGCGUCUGAUUAGCUAGUUGGUGAGGUAACGGCUCACCAAGGCGACGAUCAGUAGGGGAUCUGAGAGGACUAACCCCCCACACUGGUACUGAGACACGGACCAGACUCCUACGGGAGGCAGCAGUAAGGAAUAUUGGUCAAUGGAGGCAACUCUGAACCAGCCAUGCCGCGUGCAGGAUGACGGCCCUAUGGGUUGUAAACUGCUUUUAUACAAGAGAAAACCCUGGUAACGUGUACCAGGUUGAUAGUAUUGUAAGAAUAAGCAUCGGCUAACUUACGUGUCCAGCAGCCGCGGUAAU
RNAcentral lists this ribosomal RNA (504 nucleotides) under uncultured bacterium. Its description in RNAcentral is "bacterial SSU rRNA". It matches the Rfam family "Bacterial small subunit ribosomal RNA", at positions 28 to 524 of the family's 1533-position model. The record is from RNAcentral.